This 264-nucleotide long non-coding RNA is filed under the name Capsicum annuum. Its description in RNAcentral is "long non-coding RNA (CANN_LNC020565)". The record is from RNAcentral. Lineage: Eukaryota; Viridiplantae; Streptophyta; Magnoliopsida; Solanales; Solanaceae.
GGAAAAAAUAACUGAUAAUUUUUUUGAAGGAAAGCUAGUAGAUCGCCAACUUAUCAUGCUGAGUGGGCAAAUCAAAUGUGUUUUGAUGAUCUCAGUAAAGAAUCAUUAGCCUUGGAUGAGAAAGAAAAUCGAAUACUAACGAAUAAAAUUAUGCACCUUGUCUUAGAAAUACCGUUAGUUUAAUGUUGGUUGGAGCAAGUAUUGGCAAUUAAAUUGCGUGUGAAAAAAGUUAGAAAAAAACAAGUAAAUAUGUAAAAGACCUGG